RNAcentral lists this long non-coding RNA (1266 nucleotides) under Marmota monax (woodchuck). Lineage: Eukaryota; Metazoa; Chordata; Mammalia; Rodentia; Sciuridae. The record is from RNAcentral.
UGCAGGUCCCGUGAGUCCGAUUUUGAGAUGGGACAACUGCCGAGGUUUGCUGAGGGUGGCAUGUUCCUUGCUCCUUUGAAGCUAUGGUGGAGGGAAAACUGAAUUUCCCUACACACUGGAUGCAGGAGAUGUUCACACUGCCUUCCAACUUGGGGUGGGUGGUUCCAUCUCUCUGGGGAGAGGCAUAUCUGUCUCUGACUUGAAACAAUGUCUUACAUCUCUUCUAUUUUUAGAAUAAUCCAUUUUUUUUAGUCUGUUUAUCUAUCAUCUAUCAUCUAUUUUGAGGAGUCAAGAACUCCUUUUGGGCCUUUUCCAGGAUAACUUUUGGAACAUAAAGUUCUUAAAACUCUUAUACUUGAGCAUAUGAAUGUCCUGUGCCUUGGAACAGGAAUGAGGGACUUCUUUCCGAAGAGGAAAAGAGGGGGAAAAUCAAAUUUACUUCUAUUCCUAGAAACAAAGACAUAAAUUACUAUAUAAUUACCAUUUAAAUUACUUUAUAAAUUACUACAAGGGCAUAAAUUACUAUGGCAAUAAUCUAGCCCACCCCAUCACACUGGAACCUCGCCCCCCUUGAUUACCCACAGAGGAAACCUAGCAAAAUUAAACAUCAGUUGUCUAGCCACUUCCUCAACUACAGAAUUGAGCUAAUACCAACCUUCCAAGGAAGUAAAGAAGUUAGCUGUUUGAUACUUAGGGUUCUAAUGAAUUUAUUUCCUCUUCUUAUUUUUCCCCUGCAGGAGGGAUCACUGCCUUUUGUGGAAGUGCAAAAAGCUGAAUUGGACGGUCCAGACUCUAGGGGUCUGAGAAUAGAGAACAGAUGAACUUUGCCAGGCAGGGGACACCCUACAGCUCACAAAGUCUUUUCUUCCCUCUCUAUGUGGUUCUGAGCAAUAAGAGGUACAGCUUAGCAGGUACUGUAGAAAUUUCUGUGCUCUCAACAGUGAUGCCCAAGCCUGACUGAUCAAUAGAAUUAACAUGGAGAAUUAAAAAGUACUCCAUGGCCAUACCACCCUUAAGGUGCCCAAUCUUGUCUGAUCUCGGAAGAUAAGCAGGGUCCCGCCAACAAUCCCAGUGAUUCCGGAGGCUGAGGCAGGAGGAUUGCAAGUUCAAAGCCAGCCUCAGCAACUUAGUGAAACCCUAAGCAACUCAGUGAGACCCUGCCUCAAAAUAAAAUGUUAAAAAGGGCUGGGGAUGUGGCUCAGUGAUAUAUAUUUAUAUAUUUUUUAAAAUAAAAUUCCUACCUCAGACUCUUAUAGCUCCUCUCCC